RNAcentral lists this ribosomal RNA (409 nucleotides) under Acidobacteriota bacterium. RNAcentral's name for it is "Acidobacteria bacterium partial 16S ribosomal RNA". It matches the Rfam family "Bacterial small subunit ribosomal RNA", at positions 355 to 776 of the family's 1533-position model. The record is from RNAcentral. Lineage: Bacteria; Pseudomonadati; Acidobacteriota.
UGGGGAAUAUUGCACAAUGGGCGAAAGCCUGAUGCAGCGACGCCGCGUGAGGGAUGACGGCCUUCGGGUUGUAAACCUCUUUCAGUAGGGACGAAGCGCAAGUGACGGUACCUACAGAAGAAGCACCGGCCAACUACGUGCCAGCAGCCGCGGUAAUACGUAGGGUGCGAGCGUUGUCCGGAUUCACUGGGCGUAAAGAGCUCGUAGGCGGUUUGUCACGUCGUCUGUGAAAACCCGAGGCUUAACCUCGGGCCUGCAGGCGAUACGGGCAGACUUGAGUACUGUUGGGGAGACUGGAAUUCCUGGUGUAGCGGUGGAAUGCGCAGAUAUCAGGAGGAACACCGGUGGCGAAGGCGGGUCUCUGGGCAGUAACUGACGCUGAGGAGCGAAAGCGUGGGUAGCGAACAGG